AACGAACGCUGGCGGCAUGCCUAACACAUGCAAGUCGAACGAAGCCUUCGGGCUUAGUGGCGCACGGGUGCGUAACGCGUGGGAAUCUGCCCUUGGGUUCGGAAUAACAGUUAGAAAUGACUGCUAAUACCGAAUGAUGUCUUCGGACCAAAGAUUUAUCGCCCAAGGAUGAGCCCGCGUCGGAUUAGCUAGUUGGUGAGGUAAAGGCUCACCAAGGCGACGAUCCGUAGCUGGUCUGAGAGGAUGAUCAGCCACACUGGGACUGCGACACGGCCCAGACUCCUACGGGAGGCAGCAGUGGGGAAUAUUGGACAAUGGGCGAAAGCCUGAUCCAGCAAUGCCGCGUGAGUGAUGAAGGCCUUAGGGUUGUAAAGCUCUUUUACCCGGGAUGAUAAUGACAGUACCGGGAGAAUAAGCCCCGGCUAACUCCGUGCCAGCAGCCGCGGUAAU
Molecule: ribosomal RNA, 450 nt
Filed under: uncultured bacterium
Lineage: Bacteria
Description: bacterial SSU rRNA
Rfam family: Bacterial small subunit ribosomal RNA
Source: RNAcentral